ACGACCAUACCUGCAGUAGAAUACGGGAUCCCGUCCGCUCUCCCAUAGUCAAGCCUGCAAGGGGCGGAUUAGUAGUUGGGUCGGUGACGACCAGCGAAUCCCCGCUGUUGUAUGUU
RNAcentral lists this ribosomal RNA (116 nucleotides) under Fusarium fujikuroi. Lineage: Eukaryota; Fungi; Ascomycota; Sordariomycetes; Hypocreales; Nectriaceae. RNAcentral also lists the same sequence under 12 other names. The record is from RNAcentral.